GUGGACGUGGCUGAGGGGUCCAAAGCACCCGGCUGCAACCCGGGUUUUCGUGAGUUCGAAUCUCACCGUCCACUCCA
This 77-nucleotide transfer RNA is filed under the name Magnetovirga frankeli. RNAcentral's name for it is "tRNA-Cys". It matches the Rfam family "tRNA". From Rfam's summary of the family: Transfer RNA (tRNA) molecules are approximately 80 nucleotides in length. Their secondary structure includes four short double-helical elements and three loops (D, anti-codon, and T loops). Lineage: Bacteria; Pseudomonadati; Pseudomonadota; Gammaproteobacteria; Chromatiales; Sedimenticolaceae. The record is from RNAcentral.